UGGUAAGAAUGUAUAAGAAUG
Caenorhabditis elegans is the source of this 21-nucleotide non-coding RNA. NCBI's taxonomy places the organism in Eukaryota, Metazoa, Nematoda, Chromadorea, Rhabditida, Rhabditidae. The record is from Ensembl.